CGUGGGUGUAAAAGCACAAGUUGUCCUCUGUUGAAACAAAGGGUGUCCACCAACAUGCCUCUUUAAAAAUUAUCCGAAUACAUGUUGCGUAAAACAUAACAUCUUUGACCAAAUUUUUACUUCUAGCUUCUAAAUUAAAGACAUUUAUCCUAACCAAAAUCUUAAGUUCUUGUAGUGUGUGUUAUUACACAUCAGGAGGGCUGACAGAGAGUUUAAGUUGAUGAGGGCUGAACAGUGGCCUGUAGUCUCUAAUAGGAUGGAAACUCGUUCAUUUUUCCUUUUCUGGAACAGGAGGAGCGUUUGCGUCACUGCAGUCAGCUGUGCGAGCGCGCGCGUCUCGUGCUGCAUGUUUCACUCACGCGUGUUUAUCUUCACUUCACCAGACACUACAAAACUUUAAACUCUUCCAACUGUGAGAUAAAACACUGCUUUUCCACAGGCGCAUAGAAGAAGAGUGGAAUAAAUCUAGAAGGAAACGGGUUAAGAAGGAAACGGGGCGGAGGAAGGAGUUUGGCGUGCUGGCCUGAGACCCGGUCCAGCGGUGUGGUCUGCUUGGCCCUGCGGUCAUGUACGGUACACGAAAGACCUGGGACGUCGGCCACACCCCCUGCCUGCAGGAGCUCUGGAACAAAGACCUCUCAUUGGAUGUUUCAGCGAGUUCCCUGGAUAUCCUAAUGAGUGAUGGUGAGGAGGAGAGCUCCUUCCUCUCGUUGCCCAACUCUGUCCUUCAGCGCCACUGUUUGACCUCUGACCUCUCUGAAACCGCCACCUCAGAACAGCAGCAGCUGCUCAUACAGGUGUGACCCUAUAAUACUACUCUAGUAUUAACCUGGGCAAUUAAUAUUACAAUUAUUAAGGGAAGCAUCACUGUUACAACUGCUUAUAACUGGGUUUAGGGAUUUACUGCAACACAUUAUUUUCAGAUUAUGUAUAGUAAAAUAUUUACAAGGUUUUUUUUUUUUAUACUUUUAUUUAGCAAGUAUGCAUUAAUAUGAUCAAAAGUGAAAGUAAAGACCUAUAUAAUGUUAAAAUAUUUUUUAUUCCAAAUAAAUGCCUUUUUUUUUCUUUUUUUACUUUCUAU
This is a long non-coding RNA of Cyprinus carpio (common carp), 1081 nucleotides long. NCBI's taxonomy places the organism in Eukaryota, Metazoa, Chordata, Actinopteri, Cypriniformes, Cyprinidae. The record is from Ensembl.